CGUCAAGAGUCUUUGUACUCUGCGCCGUUUCGGCGAGCGGAUUUCUUUUGCCUAACAAAAGGUAAAGGGAAAUG
This is a regulatory RNA element of Mesorhizobium australicum, 74 nucleotides long. It matches the Rfam family "S-element". From Rfam's summary of the family: This family represents a group of S-elements from p42d and related plasmids. The S-element has multiple functions and is believed to act as a negative regulator of repC transcription, be required for efficient replication and act as a translational enhancer of repC. The record is from Rfam. NCBI's taxonomy places the organism in Bacteria, Pseudomonadati, Pseudomonadota, Alphaproteobacteria, Hyphomicrobiales, Phyllobacteriaceae.